This 254-nucleotide ribosomal RNA is filed under the name uncultured bacterium. Its description in RNAcentral is "partial 16S ribosomal RNA". It matches the Rfam family "Bacterial small subunit ribosomal RNA", at positions 524 to 776 of the family's 1533-position model. The record is from RNAcentral.
CACGUAGGGGGCAAGCGUUGUCCGGAUUUAUUGGGCGUAAAGAGCUCGUAGGUGGUUCGGUAAGUCGGGUGUUAAACCCCCAGGCUCAACCUGGGGACGCCACUCGAUACUGCUGUGACUUGAGUCCGGUAGGGGAGCGUGGAAUUCCUGGUGUAGCGGUGAAAUGCGCAGAUAUCAGGAGGAACACCGAUGGCGAAGGCAGCUCGCUGGGACGGUACUGACGCUGAGGCGCGAAAGCGUGGGGAGCGAACAGG